CGAACGCUGGCGGCGUGCUUAACACAUGCAAGUCGAACGGAAAGGCCCUGCUUUUGUGGGGUGCUCGAGUGGCGAACGGGUGAGUAACACGUGAGUAACCUGCCCUUGACUUUGGGAUAACUUCUGGAAACUGGGGCUAAUACCGGAUAGGAGCUCCUGCUGCAUGGUGGGGGUUGGAAAGUUUCGGCGGUUGGGGAUGGACUCGCGGCUUAUCAGCUUGUUGGUGGGGUAGUGGCUUACCAAGGCUUUGACGGGUAGCCGGCCUGAGAGGGUGACCGGCCACAUUGGGACUGAGAUACGGCCCAGACUCCUACGGGAGGCAGCAGUGGGGAAUAUUGCACAAUGGGCGGAAGCCUGAUGCAGCAACGCCGCGUGCGGGAUGACGGCCUUCGGGUUGUAAACCGCUUUCGCCUGUGACGAAGCGUGAGUGACGGUAAUGGGUAAAGAAGCACCGGCUAACUACGUG
This 466-nucleotide ribosomal RNA is filed under the name uncultured bacterium. Its description in RNAcentral is "partial 16S ribosomal RNA". It matches the Rfam family "Bacterial small subunit ribosomal RNA", at positions 30 to 507 of the family's 1533-position model. The record is from RNAcentral.